This 306-nucleotide ribosomal RNA is filed under the name uncultured bacterium. Its description in RNAcentral is "partial 16S ribosomal RNA". It matches the Rfam family "Bacterial small subunit ribosomal RNA", at positions 505 to 807 of the family's 1533-position model. The record is from RNAcentral.
GACAGCAGUAGCCACGGUAAUACAGAGGGUGCAAGCGUUAAUCGGAAUUACUGGGCGUAAAGCGCGCGUAGGUGGUUCGUUAAGUUGGAUGUGAAAUCCCCGGGCUCAACCUGGGAACUGCAUCCAAAACUGGCGAGCUAGAGUAGGGCAGAGGGUGGUGGAAUUUCCUGUGUAGCGGUGAAAUGCGUAGAUAUAGGAAGGAACACCAGUGGCGAAGGCGACCACCUGGGCUCAUACUGACACUGAGGUGCGAAAGCGUGGGGAGCAAACAGGAUUAGAUACCCCCGUAGUCCCUGUCUCUUAUAC